UACUGCAAGUCGAACGAACUCUGGUAUUGAUUGGUGCUUGCAUCAUGAUUUACAUUUGAGUGAGUGGCGAACUGGUGAGUAACACGUGGGAAACCUGCCCAGAAGCGGGGGAUAACACCUGGAAACAGAUGCUAAUACCGCAUAACAACUUGGACCGCAUGGUCCGAGUUUGAAAGAUGGCUUCGGCUAUCACUUUUGGAUGGUCCCGCGGCGUAUUAGCUAGAUGGUGGGGUAACGGCUCACCAUGGCAAUGAUACGUAGCCGACCUGAGAGGGUAAUCGGCCACAUUGGGACUGAGACACGGCCCAAACUCCUACGGGAGGCAGCAGUAGGGAAUCUUCCACAAUGGACGAAAGUCUGAUGGAGCAACGCCGCGUGAGUGAAGAAGGGUUUCGGCUCGUAAAACUCUGUUGUUAAAGAAGAACAUAUCUGAGAGUAACUGUUCAGGUAUUGACGGUAUUUAACCAGAAAGCCACGGCUAACUACGUGCCAGCAGCCGCGGUAAUACGUAGGUGGCAAGCGUUGUCCGGAUUUAUUGGGCGUAAAGCGAGCGCAGGCGGUUUUUUAAGUCUGAUGUGAAAGCCUUCGGCUCAACCGAAGAAGUGCAUCGGAAACUGGGAAACUUGAGUGCAGAAGAGGACAGUGGAACUCCAUGUGUAGCGGUGAAAUGCGUAGAUAUAUGGAAGAACACCAGUGGCGAAGCGGCUGUCUGGUCUGUAACUGACGCUGAUGCUCGAAAGUAUGGGUAGCAAACAGGAUUACAUACCCUGGUAGUCCGUACCGUAAACGAUGAAUGCUAAGUGUUGGAGGGUAUGCGGGGCGUCCCUGCUGCAGCUAACGCAUAAGAAUUCCGCCUGGGCGAGAGCGGCUGCUUGGCUGAGACUCAAAGGUAUUCGACAGUGACUCAGCACAACCCGGCUGGAGCAUGGUGGUUUCACUCAUAAAUACACGAA
Molecule: ribosomal RNA, 953 nt
Filed under: Lactiplantibacillus plantarum
Lineage: Bacteria; Bacillati; Bacillota; Bacilli; Lactobacillales; Lactobacillaceae
Description: bacterial SSU rRNA
Rfam family: Bacterial small subunit ribosomal RNA
Source: RNAcentral